GACGAACGCUGGCGGCGUGCUUAACACAUGCAAGUCGAACGAUGAACCCGGAGCUUGCUCCGGCGGAUUAGUGGCGAACGGGUGAGUAACGCGUGAGUAACCUGCCCUUGACUCUGGGAUAACUGCUAGAAAUGGUAGCUAAUACCGGAUACGACCCUCGGUGGCAUCACCAGGGGGUGGAAAGAAUUUCGGUCAAGGAUGGACUCGCGGCCUAUCAGCUAGUUGGUGAGGUAACGGCGCACCAAGGCGACGACGGGUAGCCGGCCUGAGAGGGUGACCGGCCACACUGGGACUGAGACACGGCCCAGACUCCUACGGGAGGCAGCAGUGGGGAAUAUUGCACUAUGGGCGCAAGCCUGAUGCAGCAACGCCGCGUGAGGGAUGACGGCCUUCGGGUCGUAAACCUCUUUUAGUAGGGAAGAAGCGAAAGUGACGGUACCUGCAGAAAAAGCACCGGCUAACUACGUGCCAGCAGCCGCCGUAA
RNAcentral lists this ribosomal RNA (484 nucleotides) under uncultured bacterium. RNAcentral's name for it is "partial 16S ribosomal RNA". It matches the Rfam family "Bacterial small subunit ribosomal RNA", at positions 28 to 523 of the family's 1533-position model. The record is from RNAcentral.